Molecule: ribosomal RNA, 478 nt
Filed under: uncultured bacterium
Lineage: Bacteria
Description: partial 16S ribosomal RNA
Rfam family: Bacterial small subunit ribosomal RNA
Source: RNAcentral
GACGAACGCUGGCGGCGUGCUUAACACAUGCAAGUCGAACGGUAAGGCCCUUCGGGGUACACGAGUGGCGAACGGGUGAGUAACACGUGGGUGAUCUGCCCUGCACUUCGGGAUAAGCCUGGGAAACUGGGUCUAAUACCGGAUAGGACCCUGGGAUGCAUGUCCUGGGGUGGAAAGCUUUUGCGGUGUGGGAUGGGCCCGCGGACUAUCAGCUGGUUGGUGGGGUGAUGGCCUACCAAGGCGACGACGGGUAGCCGGCCUGAGAGGGGGACCGGCCACACUGGGACUGUGAUACGCCCCAGACUCCUAGGGGAGGCAGCAGUGGGGAAUAUUGCACAAUGGGCGCAAGCCGGAUGAGGCGACGCCGCGUGAGGGAUGACGGCCUUCGGGUUGUAAACCUCUUUCAGCACCGACGAAGCGCAAGUGACGGUAGGUGCAGAAGAAGGACCGGCCAACUACGUGCCAGCAGCCGCCGUAA